UACGUAGGGGGCAAGCGUUAUCCGGAUUUACUGGGUGUAAAGGGAGCGUAGACGGCAGGGCAAGUCUGGAGUGAAAGCCCGGGGCCCAACCCCGGGACUGCUUUUGAAACUGUGUGACUGGAGUGCAGGAGAGGUAAGCGGAAUUCCUGGUGUAGCGGUGAAAUGCGUAGAUAUCAGGAGGAACACCAGUGGCGAAGGCGGCCUGCUGGACGGUGACUGACGCUGAGGCUCGAAAGCGUGGGGAGCAAACAGG
RNAcentral lists this ribosomal RNA (253 nucleotides) under uncultured Eubacteriales bacterium. RNAcentral's name for it is "uncultured Clostridiales bacterium partial 16S ribosomal RNA". It matches the Rfam family "Bacterial small subunit ribosomal RNA", at positions 524 to 776 of the family's 1533-position model. Lineage: Bacteria; Bacillati; Bacillota; Clostridia; Eubacteriales. The record is from RNAcentral.